CCUACGGGAGGCAGCAGUGAGGAAUAUUGGUCAAUGGACGCAAGUCUGAACCAGCCAUGCCGCGUGCAGGAAGACGGCUCUAUGAGUUGUAAACUGCUUUUGUACGAGGGUAAACGCAGAUACGCGUAUCUGUCUGAAAGUAUCGUACGAAUAAGGCUCGGCUAACUCCGUGCCAGCAGCCGCGGUAAUACGGAGGAUUCAAGCGUUAUCCGGAUUUAUUGGGUUUAACGGGUGCGUAGGCGGUCGGAUAAGUUAGAGGGGAAAUCCCGAGGCUCAACUUCGGAAUUGCCUCUGAUACUGUUCGGCUAGAGAGUAGUAGCGGUAGGCGGAAUGUAUGGUGUAGCGGUGAAAUGCUUAGAGAUCAUACAGAACACCGAUUGCGAAGGCAGCUUACCAAGCUACUUCUGACGUUGAGGCACGAAAGCGUGGGGAGCAAACAGGAUUAGAUACCCCAGUAGUC
Molecule: ribosomal RNA, 460 nt
Filed under: uncultured bacterium
Lineage: Bacteria
Description: partial 16S ribosomal RNA
Rfam family: Bacterial small subunit ribosomal RNA
Source: RNAcentral